RNAcentral lists this unclassified non-coding RNA (500 nucleotides) under uncultured Glomus. RNAcentral describes it as "SSU rRNA". It matches the Rfam family "Eukaryotic small subunit ribosomal RNA", at positions 591 to 1092 of the family's 1831-position model. Lineage: Eukaryota; Fungi; Glomeromycota; Glomeromycetes; Glomerales; Glomeraceae. The record is from RNAcentral.
CCAAUAGCGUAUAUUAAAGUUGUUGCAGUUAAAAAGCUCGUAGUUGAAUUUCGGGAUCAAUAUAUCGGUCGUGCCAUUGGUACGUACUGGUAUCAUUGGUUUCUCCUUUUUGACGAACCAUGAUGUCAUUAAUUUGGUGUUAUGGGAAGUUAGGACUGUUACUUUGAAAAAAUUAGAGUGUUUAAAGCAGGCUUUAGCUUGAAUACAUUAGCAUGGAAUAAUGAAAUAGGACGUUCGAACCUAUUUUGUUGGUUUCUAGGAUCAACGUAAUGAUUAAUAGGGAUAGUUGGGGGCAUUAGUAUUCAAUUGUCAGAGGUGAAAUUCUUGGAUUUAUUGAAGACUAACUACUGCGAAAGCAUUUGCCAAGGAUGUUUUCAUUAAUCAAGAACGAAAGUUAGGGGAUCGAAGACGAUCAGAUACCGUCGUAGUCUUAACCAUAAACUAUGCCGACUAGGGAUCGGAUGAUGUUAAUUUUUUAAUGACUCAUUCGGCGCCUUACG